RNAcentral lists this unclassified non-coding RNA (342 nucleotides) under uncultured Mortierella. Its description in RNAcentral is "sequence contains ITS2". The stretch from base 1 to 52 matches the Rfam family "5.8S ribosomal RNA", at positions 103 to 154 of the family's 154-position model. Lineage: Eukaryota; Fungi; Mortierellomycota; Mortierellomycetes; Mortierellales; Mortierellaceae. The record is from RNAcentral.
AACGCAUAUUGCGCUCUCUGGUAUUCCGGAGAGCAUGCUUGUUUGAGUAUCAGUAAACACCUCAACUCCUUUUUCUUUUUUGAAAUUGGAGCUGGACUUGAGUGAUCCCAACGCUUUCUUCCAAGAAAGUGGCGGGUUGCUUGAAAUGCAGGUGCAGCUGAACUUUUCUCUGAGCUAUAAGCAUAUCUAUUUAGUCUGCCUAAAAAACAGAUUAUUACCUUUGCUGCAGCUAACAUAAAGGAGACUAGUUCUUGUGCUGACUGAUGCAGGAUUCACAGAGACAGCUUCGGCUGACUUUGUAAACUCGAUCUCAAAUCAAGUAAGACUACCCGCUGAACUUAA